This 66-nucleotide non-coding RNA is filed under the name marine eukaryotic metagenome. RNAcentral describes it as "DUF805 RNA". It matches the Rfam family "DUF805 RNA", at positions 6 to 63 of the family's 68-position model. The record is from RNAcentral.
AACGUGGAGACCAGAACCCACUCAAAAAAACGGGGCGUCAUCCGAAAAGCCAUAUGAGUAGGAUCA